RNAcentral lists this ribosomal RNA (402 nucleotides) under uncultured bacterium. Its description in RNAcentral is "bacterial SSU rRNA". It matches the Rfam family "Bacterial small subunit ribosomal RNA", at positions 355 to 774 of the family's 1533-position model. The record is from RNAcentral.
UGGGGGAUAUUGCACAAUGGGGGAAACCCUGAUGCAGCGACGCCGCGUGUAGGAAGACGGUCCUCUGGAUUGUAAACUACUGUCUUCGGGGACGAUAAUGACGGUACCCGAGGAGGAAGCUCCGGCUAACUACGUGCCAGCAGCCGCGGUAAUACGUAGGGAGCGAGCGUUGUCCGGAAUUACUGGGUGUAAAGGGAGCGUAGGCGGGGAUAUAAGUUAAAUGUUAAAUCUACGGGCUCAACCCGUAGUCGCGUUUAAAACUGUAUCUCUUGAGUGAAGUAGAGGCAGGCGGAAUUCCCGGUGUAGCAGUGAAAUGCGUAGAUAUCGAGAGGAACACUCGUGGCGAAGGCGGGUUCCUGGACAUUAACUGACGCUGAGGUACGAAGGCCAGGGUAGCGAAAG